RNAcentral lists this ribosomal RNA (444 nucleotides) under uncultured Clostridium sp. RNAcentral's name for it is "partial 16S ribosomal RNA". It matches the Rfam family "Bacterial small subunit ribosomal RNA", at positions 341 to 792 of the family's 1533-position model. The record is from RNAcentral. Lineage: Bacteria; Bacillati; Bacillota; Clostridia; Eubacteriales; Clostridiaceae.
ACGGAAGGCAGCAGUGGGGGAUAUUGGUCAAUGGGGGAAACCCUGAACCAGCGACGCCGCGUGAGUGAAGAAGUAUUUCGGUAUGUAAAGCUCUAUCAGCAGGGAAGAAAAAAAUCAAAAUUGACAGUACCUGACUAAGAAGCCCCGGCUAACUACGUGCCAGCAGCCGCGGUAAUACGUAGGGGGCAAGCGUUAUCCGGAUUUACUGGGUGUAAAGGGAGUGUAGGCGGCGAAGCAAGUCAGAUGUGAAAGCCCGGGGCUCAACUCCGGGACUGCAUUUGAAACUGUUUUGCUAGAGUAUCGGAGAGGUCAGUGGAAUUCCUAGUGUAGCGGUGAAAUGCGUAGAUAUUAGGAGGAACACCAGUGGCGAAGGCGAUCUACUGGACGAUAACUGACGCUGAGGCGCGAAAGCGUGGGGAGCAAACAGGAUUAGAUACCCUGGUA